This 27-nucleotide non-coding RNA is filed under the name Mus musculus (house mouse). Lineage: Eukaryota; Metazoa; Chordata; Mammalia; Rodentia; Muridae. The record is from RNAcentral. RNAcentral also lists the same sequence under 1 other name.
UGGUUCUUGUUGUCAACCUGCUUGGCC